UAUUAUCAACCCCUCCAGCUUUUGUAGUUGGUUUUUGGUGGUUUGGAUCUGGAGGUUUUGCAGGCACUUUUGAAGUGUCAGCUCCUCUAAAAAGCAUUAGCAGAAUGGGUUUGCAAUCUCUCAACUGGUGUGAUAAUUGUCUACACUAGUGGAUUGCUCUCCGAAUGUUCAGCUUCUAAUUGUCUCUCACUGAGGAGACAGCUUAUACUGAAC
This 213-nucleotide unclassified non-coding RNA is filed under the name uncultured Leucoagaricus. RNAcentral's name for it is "sequence contains ITS2". Lineage: Eukaryota; Fungi; Basidiomycota; Agaricomycetes; Agaricales; Agaricaceae. The record is from RNAcentral.